Molecule: long non-coding RNA, 401 nt
Filed under: Capra hircus (goat)
Lineage: Eukaryota; Metazoa; Chordata; Mammalia; Artiodactyla; Bovidae
Description: lncRNA (ENSCHIG00010021119.1)
Source: RNAcentral
CUUCCAUUGUUCUCCUCUUGAAAAUACCUGUACGCCUGCCCUUAGCACCUGUGGAUUCGAGAGUUCUGAGUAGUGGUGUGAAUCUAGGUGUGCUCAUUUAGAAGCACUCUCUGUUCUCAAUCAAUGAAGGAGUAACUGGCAAUAACAUUUCCUCUUAAUUCAGAGCGUUUUAAAUCUCCAGGACACCAAGGGGGAAAAUUAACUGUUUUGGAUCAGCUGAAGGACAAUCUGGAUUCUAGUCCCAACCCCAGAACUUCCUACCCAAUGACCUCUUUGAGUGUGUUUCACCUCUUUGAACAUCUACACCUUCAUUGAUAAAUGGGAAUGUGAUGAUCUCACAGGACUGUAAUGAGGAUCCAGCAACUGUAGGUAAAAGCUUUUUGUAAAUGAACUAGUAACCU